This is a small nucleolar RNA of Tachyglossus aculeatus (Australian echidna), 138 nucleotides long. The record is from RefSeq and is a predicted model, not a curated record. Lineage: Eukaryota; Metazoa; Chordata; Mammalia; Monotremata; Tachyglossidae.
CCCGUCUCAGGGUCAUUUCUGGAGAGUUUCCAGUAUUCUACCAGUCUUGACUACGGGAGGCAGAGUCAAGCAGAGGCAUAUCCAUUCUAUUCCUAGCUUAGGCAGUGAUUAGCGAAUAGAAGGCAAUCUGCUACAGGU